CCUACGGGAGACAGCAGUGAGGAAUAUUGGUCAAUGGACGCAAGUCUGAACCAGCCAUGCCGCGUGCAGGAAGACGGCUCUAUGAGUUGUAAACUGCUUUUGUACGAGGGUAAACGCAGAUACGCGUAUCUGUCUGAAAGUAUCGUACGAAUAAGGAUCGGCUAACUCCGUGCCAGCAGCCGCGGUAAUACGGAGGAUUCAAGCGUUAUCCGGAUUUAUUGGGUUUAAAGGGUGCGUAGGCGGUCGGAUAAGUUAGAGGUGAAAUCCCGAGGCUCAACUUCGGAAUUGCCUCUGAUACUGUUCGGCGAGAGAGUAGUUGCGGUAGGCGGAAUGUAUGGUGUAGCGGUGAAAUGCUUAGAGAUCAUACAGAACACCGAUUGCGAAGGCAGCUUACCAAGCUACUUCUGACGUUGAGGCACGAAAGCGUGGGGAGCAAACAGGAUUAGAUACCCCAGUAGUC
Molecule: ribosomal RNA, 460 nt
Filed under: uncultured bacterium
Lineage: Bacteria
Description: partial 16S ribosomal RNA
Rfam family: Bacterial small subunit ribosomal RNA
Source: RNAcentral